GCAAUGCAAACAUCAUGGAGCCCCAGUCAAUACCACACAGUAUCUGGAGCUUCCCCAUUAAAGCACUGGAAGACUUGGAAUAUAUAACAGAAAGAGAAUGGAAUAAAAGAGCCAUUAUACAAUGCCUAGAAGCACAGGGUCAAGGAGACCAAGCAAUGCCAAUGGGAUUGAUGAGAAUCUGCAUAGUGCCUAGGAGCACAAGGUCAAAAAGGACCAAACCAAUCCAGGUAGGAUUGAUGAACUUCUACACCAGUAAGAAAAGACUUGAUCCUAGUGCGAGACUCGAUGUUGAGAUGCUUGAUAUUAAUUUUCAGGACUCCUUGUACCACAUUGCUUGUGAAAUACUCUCAGAUGAGUACCGAAGUUUGGCUACCUUCCUGACUCCCGCAUCCCUGAGAGUGAAGACUCAUACAUUCCAUAAUUCAACCAUGUAUCCUGAGCUGAUCUGGGAGUUGGUCAACACCCUUUUCAUGGGAGAUUGUAUUUUCAUAAAAAUACAAUUUAAAAUUUUGUUUGAGAAAAAAAUUUCAGGAAAAGAAGCUUGCUAAUUCCUUACACCCAGAGAAUGAACUGUUUGCAGAAAGAUGCCUAAAAAAACCUACACUGCAUCAAGAAGAUCCAGAAUUAACUUUGGGGUAUGGUUGAUUGAACUGAAGGGGGUUAAACAUUUGUUUUGAUUUACUUUCUCAUUCUUCUAUAUCCCUCUUAUCCUUAACUAAUGUAGUGUCCUCUUUUGAAGUUGCAAUUUUGUAUGCACCUGUAGUUAGAAGAUUUUUAGAAGUAAAAAACGAUUAUGUUAAAUGAUCAAUUGGAGAGACUAGUCUCUCCAAAGAUGGGGGGGGGACUGUGAAGAUGGGAUUAACUCUCCCCUAUUUAUUCUUUAGAUUUUAGCCACCAGAAAUGUAUACAUUCCCCCACUUAAUCCUUAAGUGUGUGUGUGUAUUUAAGAUCUAUGACCCAUGUGUGCUAGGGAGUGAUAAAUAAAAAACAACUGACUGUCCCUUGGGCA
This is a long non-coding RNA of Monodelphis domestica (gray short-tailed opossum), 1009 nucleotides long. The record is from Ensembl. Lineage: Eukaryota; Metazoa; Chordata; Mammalia; Didelphimorphia; Didelphidae.